Molecule: ribosomal RNA, 328 nt
Filed under: Clostridium intestinale URNW
Lineage: Bacteria; Bacillati; Bacillota; Clostridia; Eubacteriales; Clostridiaceae
Description: bacterial LSU rRNA
Rfam family: Bacterial large subunit ribosomal RNA
Source: RNAcentral
ACGCGAGCUGGGUUCAGAACGUCGUGAGACAGUUCGGUCCCUAUCCGUCGCGGGCGUAGGAAAUUUGAGAGGAGCUGUCCUUAGUACGAGAGGACCGGGAUGGACUGACCUCUGGUGUACCAGUUGUUCCGCCAGGAGCAUAGCUGGGUAGCUAAGUCGGGAAGGGAUAAACGCUGAAGGCAUCUAAGCGUGAAGCCCACCUCAAGAUAAGAUUUCCCAUAGAGUAAUCUAGUAAGAUCCCUUGAAGAACACAAGGUUGAUAGGUGAGAGGUGUAAGUGUGGUAACAUAUUUAGCUGACUCAUACUAAUAGAUCGAGGGCUUGACCAA